Rattus norvegicus (Norway rat) is the source of this 128-nucleotide small nucleolar RNA. Ensembl annotates it as small nucleolar RNA SNORA17. Lineage: Eukaryota; Metazoa; Chordata; Mammalia; Rodentia; Muridae. The record is from Ensembl.
CCUGCCCCUAGAAAUAUUGCAGAGGUGGCUGCUGUGUCACAUGUGUCAGUAGGUGGCAGAGAGGAGAGGGGCUAUGUCUACUCUCAGUGUAGACCUAGGAACAUCUGAAUGAUUAGCAGUCUCACUCA